CACGGUGGAUGCCUUGGCACUAGGAGCCGAAGAAGGACGUGACAAACGACGAUAUGCCUUGGGUAGCUGUAAGUAAGCGAUGAUCCAGGGAUUUCCGAAUGGGGGAACCCAACAGGUACUACCUGUUACCCAUAUCUGUUAAGGAUAUGAGGAGGAAGACGCAGUGAACUGAAACAUCUAAGUAGCUGCAGGAAGAGAAAGCAAAAGCGAUUGCCUUAGUAGCGGCGAGCGAAACGGCAGGAGGGCAAACCGAAGAGUUUACUCUUCGGGGUUGUAGGACUGCAAUGUGGACUUAAAGAUUAUAGAAGAACUACCUGGGAAGGUCAGCCAAAGAGAGUAACAGCCUCGUAUUUAAAAUAGUCUUUAUACCUAGCAGUAUCCUGAGUACGGCGGGACACGAGAAAUCCCGUCGGAAUCUGGGAGGACCAUCUCCCAACCCUAAAUA
RNAcentral lists this ribosomal RNA (445 nucleotides) under Rothia sp. (in: high G+C Gram-positive bacteria). RNAcentral describes it as "Rothia sp. (human oral metagenome) partial 23S ribosomal RNA". It matches the Rfam family "Bacterial large subunit ribosomal RNA", at positions 20 to 472 of the family's 2925-position model. The record is from RNAcentral. Lineage: Bacteria; Bacillati; Actinomycetota; Actinomycetes; Micrococcales; Micrococcaceae.